Choloepus didactylus (southern two-toed sloth) is the source of this 1063-nucleotide long non-coding RNA. RefSeq lists it as uncharacterized. NCBI's taxonomy places the organism in Eukaryota, Metazoa, Chordata, Mammalia, Pilosa, Megalonychidae. The record is from RefSeq and is a predicted model, not a curated record. The transcript is spliced from 3 exons.
GAGUUAACAGAGAAAGUGAGUGCUGAGACAGCUCGGCCAGCGGUUCCAGUGUGUGGACACAAACCCUGGAGGUGGCACGAGGGGAGGUCCAGGACCCAGGCUUUGGUUAGGGGUCAUCCUUGGGUGGAAGGACAGGAAGUGGGAGUGCAGGGAAGAGCACAGGCCUUGGCACCCCCUCUGAGGCCCGGGCCUCGGAGCUGGGGGCUUCCAGUGCUUGCACAGGAAGGAACGUGGUGAGUCUGCUGUUCUAUGUCGCACCCCAGAGCCUUCUCAGAGAUGGACUCUACUCUCCAGGAGCGGCAGAGCAUUUAGUGCCAGUGACAGACAGACAGUAAGGAGGACAGAGCAGCGGACUGAGUGGGGAUCUGGAACGAUUCUAGUCCUGGCCACACAGUCUUGGCCAAUCCUUUGCUGUCUGGUCCUUAGUCCCUGUUUAUAUAAAGAAAGAGCAGGGCAGGUUCUUCUCUACUAGCGCUAACGUUUCAGACUCACCAUGCCUUGGAUGAAAGCUAGUGGGCUCACGCUGGUUGUGAUGGGCUUGAAGUGAUCACAGGCCUCCAGGUUUCUUUCAAUGGAUACUUCGGUUGCCACAUUUCCCUUCUUUGUUUUCACCGUGAAGUCACUGGAGCAGUUUCCGUACACGGUAUCCUGUGGGAGCAGAAGACUGGUACCAGAUGGUCUCAGGCCACGUCUGAAGCCCGUGAUGACCUUGCCAUUAGGGAGCUGGUGGAGGACAAUGGGGACUUCCCUUUGUGUUUCAGGGGUCCUGGUCGUAUCUGCUCCAGUCACGUCAGAAAAGGACACCAGGCAUGCCCCCCCAGGCCCACACCACCUCAGGAAGUUCCAGCCCCAAGCCGCAGCCUGGAAAGCCUCGAGUGGUGACGAGUGGGGGUCCAUUUUGUUUGGAGAAGAGUAAGAACCAAAAAUGAACUCUCAGUCCAUUUCCCUGCUGUCUGUCCUCAUGCAAAUGGACAUCCAAAUCUCAGAUAAACCAAGUGGACACUGCAGACCAGGAGGCCCUCUCAGCCUUGCCCCUGCCCUGUCUUCCCCACACCAAGCCCAG